CGAGGGGGGCAAGUGUUGUUCGGAAUCACUGGGCGUAAAGGGAGCGUAGGCGGAUGUUUAAGUCGGGAGUUUAAAACCGGGGCCCAACCCCGGAGCGGCUCCCGAAACUGGGCAUCUUGAAUAGGUCAGAGGCUGGUGGAAUUGGAGGUGUAGCGGUGGAAUGCGUAGAGAUCUCCAAGAACACCUAUUGCGAAGGCAGCCAGCUGGGACCAUAUUGACGCUGAGGCUCGAAAGCAUGGGGAGCAAACAGGAUUAGAUACCCUGGUAGUCCAUGCCGUAAACGAUGAACACUAGGUUUUGGGCUCGUCAACGGUCCAGAGCCGCAGCUAACGCGUUAAGUGUUCCGCCUGGGGAAUACGGUCGCAAGACUG
Molecule: ribosomal RNA, 371 nt
Filed under: uncultured organism
Description: bacterial SSU rRNA
Rfam family: Bacterial small subunit ribosomal RNA
Source: RNAcentral